Paramuricea clavata is the source of this 1558-nucleotide non-coding RNA. The record is from the annotation of a GenBank genome assembly. NCBI's taxonomy places the organism in Eukaryota, Metazoa, Cnidaria, Anthozoa, Malacalcyonacea, Plexauridae.
GAAACUAUUUCUUAUGCAAGACUUACUUUAAAAAACUUGAGAUAAAUAUUCUUCUGUAUGCACUUGCACAUUUUAGAUUAGACGUUGUUUUAAAAAUGACAAAUAGUGCUUGCAGUUGUUCCUGUCGUUGUCGGUAUGACGUAUACUAGACUGAUUUAGAGAACAUAACGCGAACUGAAAGACCCGCCUUCGAAACAAAGAUACUUUUUAAGCAAAACAAAAAGUUUGAAUAAUUUGUGGCUCAGAAGUACCUUCAACCACAGAAUAAGAAGGUUCAGCAGAAGCGUGACUCAAGCAAGUAUUUGUCCGCGUUUUUACAAGCGAUUCGUCAUCAAUCACGUCAUCUUGGCUAGUACAACCGGCACUUUGUACCUACCAAAACCUGAUAAAAACGUCUGGUUGUACUAGCCAGGAUAGCGUGAGCGAGUUAAAAUUUUCGUGGGCGUAAAACAAUAAGGGAACCGACUCGAGGUACACUUCUGCUGUACCUUUUUAUUCUUGUGAUUCAACGUUGUCAUUCUGAAUGCAACAUUAAAAUAAGAUUUCACGUCAUUGUCGUCAUUGGAGCAAAGUGAAUGCUUGUUGCGAGUCUUGCGACGUUGUAGGAGUUACAUAAAAUCUGUUUCGUAGCAGAGGUCAUAGUUAUAUAUGCAUGAGUAAGCCUGGGACUGCUUGGGACGAUUACAUAAUUGUUAGUAUAAAUAGAGUUUUUGUAAAUAGACUAUCAUAUCAUGAAAUAGUAGUUAGAAUAAAGUAGUUCACCGUUUAUGAUCAUCACAGCAGACACCGCGGAUCAUUUUUUCCCGAUCUUACAGCCGUUUGUAAGCCUAAGGUUAUUUUAAAAAGCUUCAAUUUAUUCCAGUAAUCAAGUCCUUAGCUCUCAAUCUUGAAGUGAAAUUCAGACCGCAUCGUCGUCUUUUCGAAAUCUGUCUACUAACAUCGAAAUGGACCUGAAACUGGUCCGACAAAUUGUAAACGUACCCUUAGAGAUAAUAAACUUCUUAGGAAUCGUACUUGCAUUAACAGGAAGUUAUCUCAUUCAAGGUUUUAUUUUCAACAUUAUUAAAAGAACAAAAUAACGAAUUGUAGUAGCGAUAUAUCUAUAGUAACACUGAUGGUUCGAGAUAAUACGAGUUAUACAAGAACACGAUUAUACUUAUAAACCAAGCUGCGUUUACACACUGCGAUUGAUUAGUGUUAACUUGUUGAUCAUUUGUUAAUUUUAAAUAAAGUAUUGCCUGCCUGAUUCGCUUUCUGGCGUAUGUCAUUGAGUAAACACGCGUAAGCUGGCUACAUUUGAAAUUUCUUUUUAACGAAACGGCAAGUAUUGCAAACAAAUAUUGUAUAAAUCACACUUUUUAUUAUAUUAUGAUGACGUCAUAGUGACGUCUUGACUGACAUAAUCUAAUUAUGUGAAUUUAUUGUCAAGUAAACAUAAAAAAGAUUAACAACCAAAAGAAAAGUUACAAUCGUAUUUUCUCGCGACAACUUAGACAUAAAAUUGGCUUAAAAUGUGUAUAUGUAUAGACUAUAUAGAGACAAUAAUGUAAGGACGCAC